UACGUAGGGGGCAAGCGUUGUCCGGAUUUAUUGGGCGUAAAGAGCGUGUAGGCGGCUUGGUAGGUCUCGCGUCAAAACCUGAGGCUCAACCUCAGUUCGCGUGGGAAACCACCUAGCUAGAGUCCGGAAGAGGAGAACGGAAUUCCCAGUGUAGCGGUGAAAUGCGCAGAUAUUGGGAAGAACACCAGUGGCGAAGGCAGUUCUCUGGGACGGUACUGACGCUGAGACGCGAAAGCGUGGGGAGCGAACAGG
This 252-nucleotide ribosomal RNA is filed under the name uncultured bacterium. RNAcentral's name for it is "partial 16S ribosomal RNA". It matches the Rfam family "Bacterial small subunit ribosomal RNA", at positions 524 to 776 of the family's 1533-position model. The record is from RNAcentral.